CCCUUCCCCUCCUCCUUGGAAACCACAGGAAAAUCAAAAUUCUUUAGGCAAAUGGUAACAAACAUAGACCUGUGAGAUCUGAACCUACAGGCCAAGGGCAUCUUUCUUGUAGUUUGGCAGAACUUGAUUUUGUUCAUUUUCCUUCUAUAAAGACGCCAUGUCAAUAGGUAUAUAAAUUCAUUGUACUUAUAAAAGCAGGGGUAAAUAAUCAUCCCCCUAGGGAAUUGUUCAGGUUUUUGUUGUUGUUGUUCCUAUCUGAGAGUUGAAGGGACAAGGAAAGAAAGAAUAUGGAAACGGUUCUAGAGGGUUGUAAGGGAGAAGCCUUUCUUCUUGCCUUUCAGCCUCAGCCCUCCCCAGAUGGGGGGCAGAGAAAAGCCAAUUCAGUGACGAGGAAAUGUUUAAUGAACUUCUUAGAAUACCCCACCAACUGCCUGAAUUAACCAAAUGUGCACCAAGCUGAUAAUAGAGAAACUACCGGCCUUAGCUUUGAGUGGCCUUGGUUCUCCCCACCCCCACCCCCAUGUAAAACAGUUUCUUUCUCCCUGUAACACAAUUUCUUUCCCCAGGACAUUUUCAGUGGAAGAUAAUGCACAGAAGGUGUACAAUACCACUGGUUGUCAAAGAAGCGAAGCCGGGGUCCCCUCUAGUGGGUGGUAGCAUCAGAAGUUAGAGAGAUGAAAAUCCAAAAAAUCCUCUAUCCACAAGUUGGACUUUCUUACACCAGAAUAAAUGAUAUCUCUGAAGGAUCUAUUCUGUCAUAAAUGUUGAAUACAAGGGAAUGAUGAAGGGAUGAAGAUUAGACAUUGGCAUCUCCAUAACCUAACUAAUCUGUUCCUUCUUUUUUUUUUGGU
Phacochoerus africanus (Common warthog) is the source of this 851-nucleotide long non-coding RNA. RefSeq lists it as uncharacterized. The record is from RefSeq and is a predicted model, not a curated record. The transcript has 3 exons. NCBI's taxonomy places the organism in Eukaryota, Metazoa, Chordata, Mammalia, Artiodactyla, Suidae.